Molecule: long non-coding RNA, 4953 nt
Filed under: Sus scrofa (pig)
Lineage: Eukaryota; Metazoa; Chordata; Mammalia; Artiodactyla; Suidae
Description: lncRNA (ENSSSCG00000060842.1)
Source: RNAcentral
CCAGGGGACACAGGCAUGUAAGCAAAAUGGUGCACUUGAGAUGCUGUAAACUGUUCUAAGUUCCUGGAUCAAGUGUGGGAAAGGAGUAGCAGAAGAGAAGUUUGGAAAGUUCCUCCGUCCCUCUAUAUCAUGAUGGGCUGAUGAGGCUGAGGAAUUUGGAAUGUGGUCUGUAAGGGACUGGAAUCCAUUCAAGUACUAGAACAGGAAAGAGAUAUGAUCAGAUUAUCAUUUUAGAAAUUCUUCUGUGUUUUCAGGAAGUUUGGGAAGUGAUACAAAUAAAGGUGGGGAGCCCACAAAGGAACUGUACAGAAGUUUAUUAUGCAGGAGAAGAGCACUCACUGUACUUCCAUGUAUAGAAAAUUAACAAUUGUUUAUUGUUUUUUGUGGCAUUUUUCUCCUUGGUAGAAAUUCAUAUUUGCUGAGAGAGAAUUUUUUUUUUUUUUUUUUAGGGCCACACCUGUGGCAUAUGGAAGUGGCUAGGGACUGAAUGGGAAAUACAGCUGCUGGCCUACGCCACAGCCACAGCAGUGUGGGAUCCAAGCCAUAUGUGUGACCUACACCACAGCUCACAGCAACGCUGGAUUCUUAACCCACUGAGCGAGGCCAGGGAUCGAACCCACAUCCUCAUGGACACUAGUUGGAUUCAUUACCUCUGCACCACAACAGGAACACCAAGAAGAUUAAUUUUAUGUUAGUAGGGGUGUUUCUUUAUUUUUAAAUAUAUCCUACCAGUUAUUACUGGGGUGUUUCUUUAUUUUUAAAUAUAUCCUACCAAUUAUUAUCCCUGAACCUGUGUGUGGACUUAAAUUUUAGGGUCAACUUUACAAAUUCAUAUAGAAGACAAGGUAUGGUAAUAAAAAACAUUUUUUAUUGGUUACUGGACCUUUCUUCUUGUGUGUCUUGUUGGGAAUCUCUAAUAUCCCAAGACUAUUUUAUUUUCUUAGAUAGAAAUAGCACUUUACAAUAACUAGGCCAGGCCUUUAGGUUAUAAAAUCAUUCAGAAAAUCUUGAGAAGUAAUUGUCCUCUGUCAAUGGAAACAUAUUUAAAAACUAAGUCUGCGUAUGUCAUUUUAAGACUCCAGUAACUUAUGAAUCAUUGUUUUCUAGUAUCAGAGGUAUUACAUCCACUUAAGACACUCACAAGUGGUUCAUACAUAACAAUAGUCCAGAGAAUAUUUUAUCUUUCUGGUGUAAGUUACUUAAAAUGUGUAAGAAGCCAGACUCGUACUCUUCUUAUACUUUUUCAGCACAUUCUAAAGGCAUGAGUAGUCUAGCUGAUGAUUUAAAAAUCUUUUGUACUUAUUUCAAUCCUCCUUAUCAGAUCAUUCCUGGAAUGAAAUUUUAUUAAGUGGUACCGAUGUAUCUGAAUAUAUAGCACACUCAAUUCCACUUAUACCAGUGGUUAAAAAUAGUCACAAACAUAUGCAAAGUAGAAUAUAACUGACAGGUUUCUGUGACUUUCUCUUUUAAAACAUGUCAAAGACUUAACUGGACAUCGUGGACAGUUUUCUUCCAACUCAUACUGCACGAAAAAGCAAAUAUAGCAAAUAAACUCAAGCACUUAAAUAGGAUUUAUCAUGUAUCUGGCACAUUUCAGUCCAUUUCUUUACCAGUAUGGACCCAUUUGAAUCAACUGGUAUGUUAUCCUAUAAAUUAUGUUAUCAUGUAUAGAAUUCAUACCCCAAUAUUUGUCAAGGCCAAUAAUUACUGUCAGGGAGUGUCUCAGUAGUAACCAAGGAAAAAUACUGAAGACUCUUGAAUAGUUCCAGUGACAUUUAUGACUAACAUGGCCUGCUUCUCGAACUUAGUACACAUAUAGUCACUCCUUUUUUGGGUCACAAGUUCUUUGUUGAACCCCAACUUUGAUGCUGGCAGGGUCUAUACUUUCCUUUGCCAAAAUAUCCAAGGAAACUGGGAAUUCACUUAAUCAUAGUGUCACUGUUGAUGCUGAGUUUGUACAGUCCCAUGGAUACUUGUCCAGUGUAGCAGAGGCCAAACCCUGAAGGAAGCUGUUGUUCUUCUAGGGAGGAGGAUUGAACCCUGCCCCACCACCCCGACCCUACCACCAAGUGCUAAGCACUGCCAAAGGGUCUAUAUUCUAGGCCUCCCAGGACCCCACUCUUUAGUUUACUCACCAUGCUCAGCCAUUUUUCCUCAUUGCUCCCAAUCUCCCCACCAGGCUGGCCGGACCUGCAAGGUCCUCCAGCAUUAGGAAUGCACUGUUCAGAAAUUAAGUCUCUUCUUGUACUCGUAGUAUGAAACCAGAGUCACCAGCCUAGGUGGCCAUAUCAUUAUAAGGGUCCCAUUACCAUUCCCUGAUGCCAGUUUGUGAUCAGGGUUAUUUAAUAUAGCUUGAAAAAUUUUUCUCAGUUUUAAAGUUCAAAGAGUAGGAAUUAGGCUUUAAACACUUUUUAAUUCUAAAAGAUACUUGGGCCCCACAAAUUGACUUUAUUUUUCUUUAGUGAUAAUCUCUGGGUACAAGGGUUGAAAAUAGCAGCAUCCUUCAACUGCAGCUUAAUUCAGAACAGUGGUUGUGUAUUUACUCUAAACUUCCAUAAGUAUAUGAACUCCUUAAAUGACCAUUCCUAGGAUAACAAUCUUUUCUUAUUAAAUAUAACCAAACCAAGCCACAUUGCACAAUGUCAUACCAAAUCAAACUAGAACAUGGAUAAAGACAAAACUUCCCAGACUAUAUCAAGCUAUAGACUUAUAAGUACUUUUAAAAGAAUUUCCUGGUUUAAAUUAUCUUUUUUUUUUAUUUAAACAUAUUCUAAAUCUUCCUGAGCUAGACUUGAAUUCAAAAUCCAUGAUCCCAAGCAGAGCAUACAGUUUCCUUUGUAAAUGACAGUUUAAUCCUCUGCUGCUUAGGAAUGAAGAUGAAGCCUACUUUAAAACAGUUUUUCAAGCCCUACCAUAUCCUCCACCCUCAUUCUUCUCUUGAUAGAGAAAGAUAAUAAAAAUAGGGAGGGAGAGAGCCGUGUGUGUGUGUGUGUGUGUGUGUGUGUGUGUGUGUUUCAGUUAUUGAAUCAAAGGAUGCAGAAGCUAGAAAAAUUAUAGAGCAAUUCCAAGAACCAAGGAGGCAAUUUUCAAGGUAAAAACGGCUCACAAAAUGAUCUCACUGAGUUGGCUUGUGAAAGGUUUUUAGACCCCUGGAUAUUGUGAUUUAUAAUAAGAAAUACAUAUUUGGUCUUUUUUCCUUUUCUGGCACAGAGCUCCUAAAAACCUUGGAAUUUCCUAAGUAGUGAGAGUAAUAAAGGUCUUUUAUUUUGUGAAUGAAGUGACUUUUAGAAAGCCCUUAAGAAUGGAGGUUGGUUGCCAGGACAACCAACCCCAUGAUUGGAGGACCAGAUCUUUCAGUCAGUCCCACUUCCCAACUUCUAGGGAGGCAAGAAUGCUGCAGUGAGUUCAGUUGCCAAUAGCCAAUUGUUUAGUUAAUCAGGUCCCCUAAAACCCCCAAAAGACAAGGUUCAGAGAGCUUCUGGAUUGGUGAACACGUGCAGAUUUGGGGAGAGUGGUGUGCCUGGACAGGGCUUGGAAGUUCCCUACCUUUCCCCAUUAUCUUGUACUAUGCUUUUCUUUCGUGUGGCUGUUCCUGAUGGGCAUCUUUUGUAAUAAACCAGUGUUCCAGUAAGUUAAAUAUUUCUCUGGGCUCUGUGAGCCACUAUGGCAAAUUAAUCCAACUUGAGGAAGGGGUUGUGGAAACCUUGGUUUUAGAGCUAGCUGGUCAGAAUCACAGGUAACAACCUAGACUUGUGACUGGCCUCUACAGUGGGAAAGAUUGUAAUCUUGUAGGACUCAAUUCUUAACUUGUGGGAUCAGAUACUAUUUCUGGGGAGAGAGUGUCAGAAUUGUAGUAGAAUUAUAGGACACCCAACUGAUGUCCAGAGCAUUGCAUAUUGGUGUGGGGAACACCUCCCCAUUGGAAAUUGGGUCUUAAAGCACCCAAGUGUACCCCGCCCCCCCAACCAAGGCCAUCAUUUGACACAUGGAAUGAAAGCCAACAGCCUAAAUUUUGAGACUCAGCUGUUAAGUUUUAUCUUAAGUGCAAUUAAAGGGAGAGUCACGUUACACGAUCAGACUUGCUUUUUAUUUUAUUUUAUUUUUAUUCUGGAGAAUGGAUUUGCAAGAGCAAAUACCAGAUGAUUGAUUAGGAGGCCAUUUCAAUUGUGCAGAUAAGAGAUUGUGGUGGUCUUACAGUGGGAGAUAAAAUCGAAUGGAUAGUCUUUCUGAUAAUAUUUCCUGACUUCCCUCAUUCAGAAUAGCUUGUGGCACCAAACUUGAAAUACCGUGUGUGAUUUUUAGGAUGAAGAAAGAACACAUGGAUUUCAUUACUAUUCUUCAAAACGUUGAAGGAUGACAAGUUGAGUAGAAACUUAAUUUGGGAAAGCUUAUAUAAUUGUCUCCUCAUCGCUGAAAGGUCUUCAGACAACUAAAUGAAUGCCUUCACUCCUGUGACAUCUUUCAGGUUUUAAUUUACAUGUUUUUUUUUUUUUUUUGAUGGAAGGAGAGGUGAUUAGGAAUAGAUUUCUAUCAGGAUCAUGUUUAUUAUAUUGACAGAACAUUUUAGUCAUGAUUUUAUAUUAAUUGUAUAGUUGGGAUUCAAAGGAUGACUGUUGACUCAAAACAAAUUAUUAUAAUUUUCAUGUCUCCCACACCAGGGCACGGAUAUUGUGGUUCUGUAACUCAGUCAGUUACUAUGGAAAACUGGUUUGCUCUACGAAGUAACAGAAAUCCUAGGAGGAAAUGAGUGUGCAAUUUUGAAGCUCACUGCACUGGGUAAAGGAGUUUUAGAUACUUUGACUUAUAACUGAAACUUUAGAAAAUCCCCUUCCAAAAAGGUCAUAGAAAUACUGGUAUGUUGCUGUGAUGGGGAUUUUUAAAAAAUAUCUAACUCUUGAGGGAUAGGAAAUUCUAAAAAGAAUCCUUAUGGGACAAUCUUUAUUCAUUCAAGUG